Molecule: long non-coding RNA, 1369 nt
Filed under: Homo sapiens (human)
Lineage: Eukaryota; Metazoa; Chordata; Mammalia; Primates; Hominidae
Description: HSALNT0109839
Source: RNAcentral
AAUUGUCUCUGAGUUGGGGCAAACUUGGCUGUUUCAUUUUGAUGAACCUGCCUCUUGCUUAUCCACGGAACAGUCUGCUACAACAGCCUGCUUGAAUACUUUGCAUUUCGGACCAACCACCUCCACAUUUGUCAUUAUGACAGGUUGUUAUUUACGGGGAAUGGCAGGUUGUUGAAAUCCUAAAUGAAGCACUAAGGAAUGAAGCUCUAAGGACCAAUUAUAGCAACAAUGCUUAAACAUUUCAGGCAGCAAAAUUGGCUCAGCUACAAGCUUGUUUAGGCAAGAAAAAAAUGCAUAUUUCCUAUAUUUUUGAUUUAUAGACCAACCCAAAGAGUGUGUGAUUUCUGUUGAUUUUAACAUAAAGUCACCUAAAUUAGGAGUAUGCAGUUUUAACUGCAAUAGUUGGCAUGGCUAAUAUGGGAAAAAGUAGAUUAACCCGAUGCCUCCCAAAUGUGCAAAUAUGCUAAGCCAUGUUUAAAACUAAGGUAACUCUCUAGGGUAAUUUUUCUGGUCUGCUGUGAUGUCCCCAAGUGGCUGGCAAGUGUCAUCUAUUGGCAAGGCCUGAACAAGAGCACAGCAGGAAACUUUCCCCUUAUCUGUUUGAAUGAAUGACUAAGCAAAGUUUAAAGGCCAUUUCACUCUGCUCUUAAAGGUAUGUGAGCAUGAAGAUGACAUGCUCCUUUGGUUCCCAGUUUCAGUGUCUGAUCAGUUAGGCAUAAAGGUGCUUUUGUCUACACAGGUUUCAUGUGUGUGUUCUGUUGAUGAGUCUGUUGACAACUCCAUAAACUAAGUGUCUCCAAGGCAGGCAGAGAUUGAGAUUUGUUUCUCAGAGAUUAAUGAAUGUGCCUCCAUUUCUUUCCCUCAAAAGAGACAAUACCACUUCCUGUAGCUUUCCUUGCGUGCUUCAGAUUGAAAACCUUAUUGGGCUGCAGAAAGAUUUAUGAUUCACGUAUAUGUCGGUGGCUAUUACUGUAGAAUAAUCUGGAAAACUGCUAGUCACAAUUUGUUCCCUCUCAAUGGUUACCGACUGAUUCAUUAUGCUGGGCUCUUGUGUCUUCUCUCCUUCCUUCACAUCUCUCCUCAAAAUGUUAGAUUCUUUGCCACACUAUUUACAGACUGUGGUAAAUAUAGCAGGUUGAUAUCAGGGUCACUUGUAUUAUAUAUGCUAUAAUGCCUACACCAUGUAUUUUUAUGUCAAGUGAUUAAGAAAUGUAUAAGAAAAAUGGUAAUAAGCUCUCCAUCACCAUCCACCCUUCCUGGGAUAAACACUGUUAAGAGUAUCCUUCUCUCUUGUUUUCUGUAUUCAUAUGCAUGUCAUAUUAUAAUUUUUUGUCUUGCUUAACAGUUUUUUUUGACCUAAAUAGUAUAU